AUUGAACGCUGGCGGCAUGCCUUACACAUGCAAGUCGAACGGCAGCACGGGUGCUUGCACCUGGUGGCGAGUGGCGAACGGGUGAGUAAUACAUCGGAACAUGUCCUGUAGUGGGGGAUAGCCCGGCGAAAGCCGGAUUAAUACCGCAUACGAUCUACGGUAGAAAGCGGGGGACCUUCGGGCCUCGCGCUAUAGGGUUGGCCGAUGGUUGAUUAGCUAGUUGGUGGGGUAAAGGCCUACCAAGGGGACGAUCAGUAGCUGGUCUGAGAGGACGACCAGCCACACUGGAACUAGGAAACGGCCCAGACUCCUACGGGAGGCAGCAGUGGGGAAUUUUGGACAAUGGGCGAAGGCCUGAUCCAGCAAUGCCGGGUGGGUGAAGAGGGCCUUCGGGUUGUAAAGCACGUUUGUCCGGAAAGAAGGCCUUGGCCCUAAUACGGUCGGGGAAUGACGGUACCGGAAGAAUAAGCACCGGCUAACUACGUG
RNAcentral lists this ribosomal RNA (486 nucleotides) under uncultured bacterium. Its description in RNAcentral is "partial 16S ribosomal RNA". It matches the Rfam family "Bacterial small subunit ribosomal RNA", at positions 29 to 507 of the family's 1533-position model. The record is from RNAcentral.